RNAcentral lists this long non-coding RNA (199 nucleotides) under Phoenix dactylifera (date palm). RNAcentral's name for it is "long non-coding RNA (PDAC_LNC004896)". Lineage: Eukaryota; Viridiplantae; Streptophyta; Magnoliopsida; Arecales; Arecaceae. The record is from RNAcentral.
GACACUAGUACUGGACUGAUUAUUUUGCGGGAUCACGGUCGUCGCAGAAGGACGGUCCAGCCACUUUCGUUGUGGUUGGAUUGAUUUAUGUUAUUUUUUUUAUUAUUUUAUGUUGGUAGGAUUAAUUUGCAUAUUGUCAUUUGAGGACCUUGUUCAGAUUAUUUUCUUUGUAGGGACCUAUCUGUUAUUUUGUGGCCCU